Molecule: long non-coding RNA, 230 nt
Filed under: Nicotiana benthamiana
Lineage: Eukaryota; Viridiplantae; Streptophyta; Magnoliopsida; Solanales; Solanaceae
Description: long non-coding RNA (NBEN_LNC006580)
Source: RNAcentral
AUAGCUUAGGUACUGCAGUUGGUUUGGAAUUAGACUACCUUAAUACCAGACAUCAAAGACAACACAGAAUCCAAGUCCAAGACUUGAGUGAUAAUGCUAGAGAACGUAUCCUUCUUGGCAAGGCAAACAACCUUUGCCAAGGUUCCGAAGGAAAGAUAGAUCUGAACUAACACAAUCACUAUAAUCAUCCCUCUUGUAUGUAUAUAAGUUUUUCGAUGAAAAGAGGGGAU